This 132-nucleotide ribosomal RNA is filed under the name uncultured bacterium. Its description in RNAcentral is "partial 16S ribosomal RNA". It matches the Rfam family "Bacterial small subunit ribosomal RNA", at positions 223 to 354 of the family's 1533-position model. The record is from RNAcentral.
GGAUGGUCAUGCGUCGCAUUAGCUUGUUGGCGGGGUAACGGCCCACCAAGGCGACGAUGCGUAGGGGUUCUGAGAGGAAGGUCCCCCACACUGGUACUGAGACACGGACCAGACUCCUACGGAAGGCAGCAG